This is a long non-coding RNA of Xiphophorus hellerii (green swordtail), 479 nucleotides long. RefSeq lists it as uncharacterized. The transcript is spliced from 4 exons. Lineage: Eukaryota; Metazoa; Chordata; Actinopteri; Cyprinodontiformes; Poeciliidae. The record is from RefSeq and is a predicted model, not a curated record.
GGCAAUAACCAGGAGAAUCUUGGCCGUCUUCGUGCUUCUAGCAACAUUGCUUGCUUUGGAAAAAAGAACCUUCAACUUUCAGUUUUACUUUACGGUUCUGGAUUUUCUAGAGCCACAUGGUGAACACUUUCUUUCUCGCACACGGGAGAGAAGAGAUGUUCUUUCAGACUCUGAGAUUUACUCAGCAAACAUUUUAUUAAAUGCAUCGAGCGUGGGAACCUAUGAGCAGCUGCUGUCGACCCUGAACGCCACCAGUUAUCCUCUCCAGCUUGAUAACAUCACAGAGAUCCAAGAUAUUACUGUUACAACAGUUUGUGUCUCCACUGAAACUGGUUUCCAGUGUGAGUGUGAAGAGCAGUUUGCUUGGCCGUACAGCUCCUGCAUCACAUAUGGAGCUUGUGAUUCCAUAUCCAGCGGCAUCUGCAAAUGCAUCUCGGCGAUCCCAGCUGACGGCUCUUCCUGUCAGCUGAUCUCCGGUA